RNAcentral lists this ribosomal RNA (116 nucleotides) under Vagococcus silagei. The record is from RNAcentral. Lineage: Bacteria; Bacillati; Bacillota; Bacilli; Lactobacillales; Enterococcaceae.
UGUGGUAAUGAUGGCAAAAAGGAUACACCUGUAACCAUGCCGAACACAGAAGUUAAGCUUUUUAGCGCCGAGGGUAGUGAGGGGUUUCUCCUUGUGAGAGUAGGACGUUGCCACGC